UAAGUAGGCAGUGGAAACGACACAAACUUGGAUUCCUCAAUUAGUUGCGAAUGAAAGAGAGAGGAUUUCAGCUUGACAUCCAAGGGUGCUACCUUUGACAUGAAGAUUUGAUCGUGUGCCAAAGGGAGGGAGGUGGAAAGUGGAUACUGUCUUGGGAGAGGGGUGUGCAAGUGGCAACGAGGGUAACAAGCCUUUGACGCUUGAUGUGUCUUCCUGCACGGCACCUUCUCUAGACUCAUGCUCUUUGAAAGUGGAGUGCAAAGUGGGUGGUAAAUCUCACUCAAAGGCAGAUACAACCCUGGGGCCGACAGCAUACAAGUACCGUGAGGGAAGUGUGAAAAGGACUUUGGAAAGAGAAUUAGAGGAGCCUGAAUGUGCUGAACAGUAAGCAUACAGGGUGGGGGACUUUGGAGAGAUUUCGCUGCAUGACCAAGCAAGUGGUUACCGCAUGUGCAAAGGUUCUGUGGUGUGCAUUGGCAUGACGUGUGUGUGUCUCUUCUUGGAUGUCAAUUAAAGACAGCUGCAGUCAAUGGCAACUGGUGAUGAAGGGUCACUUUGUGCCAGUGGCUGUCAUUGCCCAGAUUGUGCACGUGCCUGGGAUAUGGUGGGGGGGGGGGGGGGGGUGGUACCAUAGAUGACAUGGUGCUCUAAAAAGGUGGGUGUGGGGCGUUUGUUGUGCCUCAUUACGUGUGAAGGUAGGUUUUGCCUGGCAGCACAUCUGCUGUCACCCUCUGCCUGUGUGACCCGUCUUGAAACACGGACCAAGGAGUCUAACAACCCUGCAAGGUGUGUGUUUUUUUUGUGUUGUGUACGACUGUGUGCCAAUGAAAGUGGAGUCCCAGACCUGUGCAUGAGUGUUCCACCAAACACACGGUUGAGGUUUGAGUCUGAGCAUGGCUGCUAGGACCCGAAAGAUGGUGAACUAUGCCUGGCAAGGGUCAAGGCAGGGGAAACUCUGAUGGAGGCUCGCAGCGCUACUGACGUGCAAAUCGUUCGUCGCACUUGGGUAUAGGGGCGAAAGGCUAAUCGAACCUUCUAGUAGCUGGUUCUCUUUGAAGUUUCCCUCAGGAUAGUUGGAGUCAGACAGUUUUAUCAGGUAAAGCGAAUGAUUGGAGGAAUUGGGGGUGUGACACUUUUGACCUAGUCUCAAGCUUUUAACGGGUAUGCAGCAGAGGUUGCUUUAUGUGAAUCCGCACUGAAUGUGUUGCUCAUGUGGGCCACUUUUGGUAAGCAGAACUGGCGAUGAGGGGUGAACCUAUUGACUGGUUAAGACACUGGACUUCUUGCUCAUCAGAGCUCAUAAAGGGUGUUGGCUCAUUCAGACAGCAGGACGGUGGUCAUGGAAGUUGAAACCCGCUUGGGAGUGU
RNAcentral lists this ribosomal RNA (1367 nucleotides) under Gambierdiscus scabrosus. RNAcentral describes it as "eukaryotic LSU rRNA". It matches the Rfam family "Eukaryotic large subunit ribosomal RNA", at positions 43 to 1281 of the family's 3401-position model. Lineage: Eukaryota; Dinophyceae; Gonyaulacales; Pyrocystaceae. The record is from RNAcentral.